Molecule: non-coding RNA, 194 nt
Filed under: Bacillota bacterium
Lineage: Bacteria; Bacillati; Bacillota
Also listed under: 1 other name
Description: 6S RNA
Rfam family: 6S / SsrS RNA
About the family: E. coli 6S RNA was the first non coding RNA to be sequenced, but its function was unknown until recently. It consists of 184 nucleotides that fold into an extended hairpin structure with a large single-stranded internal bulge.
Source: RNAcentral
GAAGCCCUGCGAUGCGCGUGAUCCGGUCCGAUAUGUUUUGAGCCAACACCAAAACAUAGGGAGCCUGAUCCAGGACGGUGGCCGUCCUGCCCCCGUUCGCAAGAACGCCAGGGGACUGCGAAAGCCGGCCGGAGGCGCCCACCUGCGAGCGCGCAGGUUCAAAACUUCGGUGACACGGCAUAGGCGGGGUAUUC